CGUGAACUAUACUUGCAAGCUCUAGCCUAGAUCCUAUAUGAAAAAAUCAAAUCAAGAAAUGUGUGGAAAUGAGUUUUUGAGUACAGCAAGGACCGAAGAUUUAAUUACCUCUAAGAAGAACAAAAACAGAGACUCUGUCCAUAGAGCAUCAAAUGAGCUGAACAUGAAGGAGUGAGGGAUACAGAAAAAUGUUGGGGGAUGACGAGUGAACUGAGAGAAAGAGAACAGGGCAUUGAGGAGGCUGCCCUGAGAUCUCGGAGGUGAGGAGGAAAGGCCUUGAGAAGAUUUUUUAAAGUCUAUUCUCUCCUCUAUGCUCUCUUCCACAUCAUCCUUGUUCUUCCCAAAGUAACAUCCUUUUUGACCAGCUCUAUGUAAUAUUAGGAUAUUAGAGUUGAUACGAAGGUCGUUACCUCUGCACCACAAUGGGAACUCCCAAGACUUCUGGUUCUUUCUAAAAGUUGAUGGAGAGGAGUUCCCAUGGUGGCUCAGCGGUAACAAACCUGACUGGUAUCCAAAGGACAAGGGUUCGAUCCCCGGUCCCACUUGGUGGGUUAAGGAUCCGGCUUUGCCGUGAGCUGUGGUGUAGUUCGCAGACAUGGCUCAGGUCCCAUUUUGCUCUGGAUGUGGUGUAGGCCGGCAGCUGUAGCUCUGAUUCGACCCCUAGCCUGGGAAACUCCAUAUGCCACAGGAGCGCCCCUAAAAAGCAAUAAAUAAAUAAAUAAAUAAAAGUUGAAGGAGCGAUGCACUGGGAUCAUGUAGCAUGGUGUCUGGUCCCAUGCGAUUGUCUUUAAAGGACAGGACAAUCCCCUGAUACAGAGGGUUCCUACUACUGUUGCAGGAAUCCGAAAAGUCAUUAUACCAUAUGAGCAUGAGAAUUUCUGGUAGUUUCCCCCAUUGAUAAAUUAGGACAUGCCACAAUAGAUAGAUAAGAGAGAAACAAUUUUGCAAAGGUUGCUGUUAUUUUAAAAAGGAAAUUAAAAUAAUCGAACAGCAAACAUAGAGGACUAACUGUUGUAGCAGGUGAAACUCAGAUCACAGAUGCUUAAGACAAAUUAAGUUUAUUGGUGGAUAGCCUUUCACAUGAGCAUUCAGGAACCCUGGUUUGUCCAUUUUGUGGCAUUCCAGUGUUCAGCAUACAGAUUCCAAGGUCAUUCUGUAGGUCAUCUCAUUUUGCCUGCCAGAGGGGAAACCAUCAGUGUAGGUUCUCCAUGGAGGUCUUUACAGCCUAAAUCUGGAAGUGAUUCACGUUCCCUCUGAGGCAUUUUGUGGCUUUGACUUAGUCACAUGAAUACAACUAACCCACACGAUGUGCUGAGAAAUGCAAGCUACUUGUAUGUCCAGAAAUAAGAGGUAAUGGAUUUUGGUCUCUUCCACGGCCUACACAGGACUGCUGUGUGCUAUAAACCAUACUAGACAGGCUCUGCUCUGUGCAUUUCUCAUGUUGUCCUCACAGCUUAAAAAGGAUAUUAUCGCCCACUUUACAGAUGUAGUAAUUCAAGAUUAUUUGUACUUGAUCAGGACCUGACUUCAAAAUUCAGUCAAUGGAUGCUAAAGGUCAGUCCAUGGACAGCUGCAAUAAAAUUAUUUAGAGAGCAUGUUUAAAUAUAACUUGAUGGGAAUAACCCCUGGAGAUUCUUAUUCAGUAGCUUUGGGUUAAAGCCCAGUAAAAUAUAGUUUUAAAAGCUCCCCAGGUGGUUCCAAAUAUGGCCGGAAUUGGGACCAGCUGCUCUAAGUUUUCCUGAAAUCAACCACUGAGUGGACACUACAGGGGCAUGAAAAUUAGCAAUAAUUAAUUGCUCUUAUAGGGCACAAACAAGAACAUCAGAACAUUCCCUCUUUCUUUCAAUCUUUCAUUAAACAUGAAGAGAACCCUGAGGUAUUCAAUAGCUUCUCAGGACAAACUGGUAACAUGAUGAUGACAUUUGAGUUGUGGCAUUUGUCCAUAUGGCAGUGAAAUGAAGGAUAUAGUAAUUUCAAGUGACAUUAUUCACUGAGCAACCAUGAAAUAAUAAGUUCGGUAACAACAACCAGAUCAUUACUCAGCUGGGUGGCAUUUGAAUUAGUAUCCUAAAAAUCUCCCACUGUUUUGUUUCCAAAGCUGAGUCUCUUUCUUAAAACUCCAUGAAAAUUAGCGUGACUGGAAUGAUAAUGGUUAGACAAAAUUCUCCUAAUUUCUUCAAACAAAAAGUAUAUACUAUACUUAGCCGUCUUCCCCUACGUUUGGGCUGCUCUUCUAAAAAUUCUGGCAAAAUGUAGAAACUUCACUAAAGGAUAUUUCCUGUUUCGAGUUCUUUGAUAUUUGUGUAAUGAUCAGUUGUUAAUCUUGAGAAUACUUCUGAAUUCUUUAACAUUGUUCUGUGGUAGUUCAAAUACCAGAUAAUUCUUUGUUAGUCUUUGUAUGACUAUUUUGCAGCUCUAGCAGUAAACAUAAAAAGUACAUCUUAUAGCUUGAGGUUAAGGAUUUUAAUGAGAUAUAUGUGCAUAUACAUUAUAUAUUUAUAUAUACACACAUAACAUAUAUACAUACAUAUGUACAUAUGGAUUCUAAAUUGCCAAACACAAAUAUACUAUUAAGGUCUGCAGACACCUCGAGACUACCAGCUAUUAAGUUCAAAUUAAUUGAGCUAUAAAAUACCAAAUAGGAAUAAUUUACACAGAUCCCUCCAUGUAAUUUCGAAAGUGUUCAGAAAACUUUGAGGCUUAUUAAAACACUCACCCAGCACACGUAUACAUGUAGGCACGUUUGGACAAUACUUAAUAUAAGCUGUUAUUUGAAAUUACAGAUAGCUCAGUUCAUAAAAAUGAAAAAUCUGCCAUUCCCUCUGUCUUUUAAAAAUUAUUUCCAUGUGCUGUAAUUUAGCCUGGUGUAAUUUGUUUGGAAAAUUAAAGUAAUAAAACCUUAGUUUGUUGUGUGUCUGAAUAGUGGCGAUGAUUGUCUCAGUGGGUGGCUGCAAAUGUAGGGAGAAGUCGUUGUCAAGAUAUGCAGACAGAAUAAAUACUAUUUACUAAAGGCUAAUGUAUAAGUACUAAUAAUAGACAUAUUGUUGCAUGAAAAAAUUACCUCCCUAGGAGAACUUGAACACUUAGCUUCAGUGCAGUUAGCAUGCAUAUGUUUUCCUUCUAAACCACUAAAAUAACCUUCUGGGGAAAGAAAGAAUCCAGAGCAGCCUUCUCUUUGUCAUCUUUCUGUGUUGCAUUAUCUGGGGUUGUAUGGUAGACUAUGAAGUUAGUAGUAAUUAAUGACGAUUAUAAUUGUUGGAUUAUUAAUAUUUUAGAAGCAUGAUAAAAUGAUUAUUGUAAUCAUGUGAAGCACCAUGAACACAUGUAAUUGUGAUAAUGCUGGCUAUUAUUUUAGUAAUUUAGAAAAUUAGUGCAUAAAGAGAGAUCAGUGAGGGACAAUUCAGAACGAGUGUGUGAAUAUGCAUGUAAGAAGAAAAUUACUAUUAAAGGGCAAAGCUAAUCAGCUGGAACAGAAACUUUCCAGAACUGUUUAUUUUCAAACCUUCUUCUGCAGGGAGUUUUGAAUUUUCCCAAUGUAAAAUCCCUUAAAAAUUAUAACAUUUUGGACAGAUGCCUUGGAUCUAUGAAGUUCUAAUUAUGAAGGCACAGAAACUAGAUCCUCUGUAUAAUCCAGGGUACUGAGAUCUUUAAAAUAUCAACAUGAAUCAAAGGUACAGGUGAUUGCUCUAAGUGGAUCUCAUAUAAUUACUUUCUGUGACCAAUUCUUUCAAAACUACAAAUGAGCUUGUGUCUUUGUAAGAAUUUGGUCAAGACUGGUAAUCUUGAUCCAAGUGGUGAAUAUGUGAAAGUGUCAGAUUCCUCUUGGAAGCACUUUGUAUUGAAUUUUUCAGUCAAUACCACAAUAACCCUGUAAGAUCAGUAAUAUUAUUAGACCCACUUGACUGAAGAAGAAAUGGAGACUAAGAUCUGCUAAGGAGCUUGUCCAAGGAUGGUGCAGUUUGCAAGAACCAAAGUUAUCAAACCCAGGCCAGCUGACUCCAGAAUUCAAGCCCAAGGCUAUUUCUCUACAGUGCUGUGCAUGGAAUUUAAGAACUACAUGGGUAGGAAAGCAUUACGUGAGGGUUACACUUCUCUGAUCCUUCUUCUGCAUAGGCCAUACAAGGACAGUGACCCAGACUUUAGGGCUGGAUCAGGGUAAGGUAUACCAUGAAAAUGACAUGAGAGUAAGUGUAAAAAAAAAUAUUCGAAGAUAAUUAGGGAUUAGUGGCAUGGUAUGUGUAACAUAUAUGAAAUCCAAGAGGUUAAAAAAUGAGGAUCCAAGACAGAAGCCAAGAGGUAGAAGAACAUUGGUUUUUGUGAGAAAGAUGUAACUUGUGUGAGAACAGGUGAGGGGACUCCAAAUGGUAAAUGUCAGCAGGGCUAAGGUGAACAAGGAACCUACUGAUGAGGUGACCUCUUUAAGGUAGAUUACGAGCAAUGUGUAGUAAAAUAACAGGGAAUUAUAUAAAUCGUUAGAAAUCGGAACUUGUUGCUCUUUAUUGAUUUUUCCUUUCCAUAUUUCACUGAUAUUCCAUACUUGAAAAUUUAUCACAUGCUUAAAUUGAAAGCAUAAAAUCUAUGAUUGUAUAAUUGAUCAAUAAUCAUAAAAAAGUAGGAUUUGGUAGGGAAUUCAUGUAUUAUCAGUGGACAGUUCAUACAACUCUGCAAAAUCAUAAAUAAAUCAGAAAAUAAUUUUUGAAAUUUUAUUUUUCUACCUCUUGUGCUCUUUUAUUUUGUUAUAGAAAAAACUACAUACUUUUUUUCUUUUAGAUUAUGUAUUUAUUUUACGCAUCCUCGUUGAUGAUUUACUUUCCUUAAACGAAUGUUAUCUUCCUUCCUCACAGAAUAUCUUUGUCUUGGAUUCCAGUUUCAGAUCAAGUUAAUGUUUUCCAGGGGAAAUUUUCCUUAACUAUCCCACCAUUUUUAGAUGCUCAGGUUAGAUGAGAUAAAGAAGGAAUCAUUGAACGAAUAUAUGGUCCUUUUCUAAAGUAUCUCAUCAUUUGUUGGAAAGAGUUUAUCAGUCAGAAUAUACUAGGUUUUGCUGUCACAACAAAUGACAACCAAUCCUAGCCUUUUACAAAGAAAAAUAGUUUGUAUAUCUUUCACAGUACACAUCAAGUGACAGUUAGCUAGACUCUGCCUCAUGAUCUGCAUUCCAGGACCCAAGCUGACAAAACAGACUAUAUGAUCAUAUGCAGAAGCAAAAGAAACAUAGCAAAAAAAUCAUAUACCAGCUUUAAAGCUUCUCCUCAAAAUCAGACACAAAAGUCCUUCCCACAUCUUUUGGCAAAAGCAAGUUACAUUUGUACUGCUUAGUUCUACAAAGCUAGGAUAUAUCAUUCUUAGGGCAGGGGGUAACUCAGAGAGAGAAUGCUUAGUGAAUUGUAAAACAGGUUACCUCAGGGUGAAAGACAUAACAAGUUAAUGAUAAUUGUUAUCAGGGAAUUACAUAUAGUGUUCUCUGGAAGUCUCCCACCGUGGAGAUUGUUAAAUCCUCUGCUAUCAGCAUCAGAAAGGAUGUUAAAAGUUCUCUAAUUCAAAAAUCUAUUCAAGGCAAUCAAAAAAUGUUUGUUGAUGAAGAUUAAAAUAAGUGUAAAAGGCAAUAAAUAUGCAGUGAUACUAUGGGAUCAUUUCACCCAGAGAAGAUAAAUUUUUGUGACUGUGAGAAUAGUAUGUGAGAGAAUAAUCUGUUCCAUAAAAAACUGUUUCGGAAUUCCACACACAGAGGUGUAGACAGUGUACUCUGAACAUUUUUACCCCACAACAUCUUGUUGGACCAAUGUUAACAUCUGACAUUUCUUUACAAAAGCACCGAUGCUAAUUUAAUAAUUCUGCCAACACAUAAAAGCUCAUGUAACUGAAUUUUAAAGGACUAAUGAGUACCUUUCUUAGGCUAAAAUUCAUCUGUCCAUUCUUUCAAAGCACAUAGGGACAUCUGAGCAUCUAUUUUCACCAUUAUUCUGUUUUAUAUAAAUUUCACCAUCAUCUUCUUUGUAUAAUAAAACAAACCUUGUUCUUUAUGUAAUAUAUUAAUCAUCUGUAAUCUGUUCAUACAAAUUUAGUGGAUCUUUCCUAUUCAUUUGCUAACAGUUUGUCCAUGUGGUAUAUAUUUUUAGUUUCAAUGAGUGGACCAAAGAUAAUUCUUUUUAUAAUAUUUAUUUUUUACAUAGAAAAAAUCAUUUAAGGAAUUCCUUUGAAUGAAUUAUGGCUCACCGGAAACAAAUCUGACUGGCAUCCAUGAGGAUGAAGUUUUGAUCCCUGGCCCCACUCAGUGGGUUAAGGAUCGGGUAUUGCCCUGAGCUGUGGUGUAGGUCACAGAUGUGGCUCAUAUCCGGGUUGCUGUGGCUGUGGUGCAGGCCAGUGGCUACAGCUCCGAUUCAACC
Molecule: long non-coding RNA, 6383 nt
Filed under: Sus scrofa (pig)
Lineage: Eukaryota; Metazoa; Chordata; Mammalia; Artiodactyla; Suidae
Description: lncRNA (ENSSSCG00000042013.1)
Source: RNAcentral